AGUAAAAGUCGUAACAAGGUUUCCGUAGGUGAACCUGCGGAAGGAUCAUUAACGUAUCUCUGACGGGACGCAGUCCGCCCUGCUCCGGCCCAAUCGGGUCGUGCAGCGGGUGGGCCGCUCCUGUUCAAACCUCACAAACCCACUGUGAACCUUCACGGCGGAGGGGGCUCGGUCUGUGCCGUGUCCCCGAGGCCGCAUACCAAACUCCAGUUGCAAAGAAUGUCGUGCGGACCUUGUGCCGCCUAAAACACAUAACAACUUUCAACAACGGAUCUCUUGGCUCUCGCAUCGAUGAAGAACGCAGCGAAAUGCGAUAAGUAAUGUGAAUUGCAGAAUUCAGUGAAUCAUCGAAUCUUUGAACGCACCUUGCGCUCCUUGGUAUUCCGAGGAGCAUGCCUGUUUGAGUGUCUUGAAGUCAUCAACCCCUCCCAUUUUGUUAUGGGUUGGGGUUGGAUGUGGGGGCUCUGCUGCCGUGAAGGUGGCUCCCCUUAAAUGCAUCGGUUGGGCUUGUGGGCCGAACUCGACUGGGUGUUGUACCAUCCUCGCUCGACAGAGAUCGGCCCCUGUUUGUGCCCUUCCCCGACCUGCCCGUUGGAGUGGCGGUCAAAGCAAACUUUGAAAUCUGACCUCAAAUCAGGUAGGACUACCCGCUGAACUUAAGCAUAUCAAUAAGCGGAGGA
RNAcentral lists this ribosomal RNA (680 nucleotides) under uncultured fungus. Its description in RNAcentral is "eukaryotic LSU rRNA". The stretch from base 257 to 410 matches the Rfam family "5.8S ribosomal RNA". Lineage: Eukaryota; Fungi. The record is from RNAcentral.